GUCGUACGAGAACUCUUUAGCUUGCUAAAGAUAGUAAAGUGGCGUACGGGUGAGUAACACGUGGGUAAUCUACCUCCGAAUUGGGGAUAACAUUGCGAAAGCGAUGCUAAUACCGAAUAAUAUCUUUUUAGCCCCGGCUUUAAAGAUCAAAGGUGGUCACUACAUGUAAACUACUGUUUGGAGAUGAGCCCGCGCACCAUUAGCUUGUUGGUAGGGUAAUGGCCUACCAAGGCUUCGAUGGUUAGCUGGUCUGAGAGGAUGAUCAGCCACACUGGAACUGACACACGGUCCAGACUCCUACGGGAGGCAGCAGUGAGGAAUUUUGCGCAAUGGGGGAAACCCUGACGCAGCAACGCCGCGUGAGUGAUGAAGGCUUUCGAGUCGUAAAGCUCCGUCAAGUGGGAAGAACUUAAAAUAGGAUAAUACCCUGUUUUACUGACGGUACCACUGAAGGAAGCACCGGCUAACUCCGUGCCAGCAGCCGCGGUAAUACGGAGGGUGCAAGCGUUAUUCGGAAUUAUUGGGCGUAAAGGGCGCGUANGCGGCUACUUAUGUCANAUGUGAAAUCCCGGGGCUUAACCCCGGAAGUGCAUUUGAAACUGA
Molecule: ribosomal RNA, 603 nt
Filed under: Desulfobacteraceae bacterium enrichment culture clone WIP10m11A
Lineage: Bacteria; Pseudomonadati; Thermodesulfobacteriota; Desulfobacteria; Desulfobacterales; Desulfobacteraceae
Description: bacterial SSU rRNA
Rfam family: Bacterial small subunit ribosomal RNA
Source: RNAcentral